AUUGAACGCUGGCGGAAUGCUUUACACAUGCAAGUCGAACGGCAGCACGGACUUCGGUCUGGUGGCGAGUGGCGAACGGGUGAGUGAUACAUCGGAACGUGCCCAGUCGUGGGGGAUAACGUAGCGAAAGCUACGCUAAUACCGCAUACGAUCUAAGGAUGAAAGCGGGGGAUCGCAAGACCUCGCGCGAUUGGAGCGGCCGAUGGCAGAUUAGGUAGUUGGUAGGGUAAAGGCCUACCAAGCCGACGAUCUGUAGCUGGUCUGAGAGGAUGAUCAGCCAAACUGGGACUGGGACACGGCCCAGACUCCUACGGGAGGCAGCAGUGGGGAAUUUUGGACAAUGGGCGCAAGCCUGAUCCAGCCAUUCCGCGUGCAGGAUGAAGGCCUUCGGGUUGUAAACUGCUUUUGUACAGAACGAAAAGGCUCUGGUUAAUACCCGGGGCUCAUGACGGUACUGUAAGAAUAAGCACCGGCUAACUACGUGCCAGCCGCCGCAGUAA
This 500-nucleotide ribosomal RNA is filed under the name uncultured bacterium. RNAcentral describes it as "partial 16S ribosomal RNA". It matches the Rfam family "Bacterial small subunit ribosomal RNA", at positions 30 to 523 of the family's 1533-position model. The record is from RNAcentral.